GCGGCAGCAGUAGGGAAUCUUCCACAAUGGACGCAAGUCUGAUGGAGCAACGCCGCGUGAGUGAAGAAGGGUUUCGGCUCGUAAAGCUCUGUUGUUAAAGAAGAACGUGGGUAAGAGUAACUGUUUACCCAGUGACGGUAUUUAACCAGAAAGCCACGGCUAACUACGUGCCAGCAGCCGCGGUAAUACGUAGGUGGCAAGCGUUAUCCGGAUUUAUUGGGCGUAAAGCGAGCGCAGGCGGUCUUUUAAGUCUAAUGUGAAAGCCUUCGGCUCAACCGAAGAAGUGCAUUGGAAACUGGGAGACUUGAGUGCAGAAGAGGACAGUGGAACUCCAUGUGUAGCGGUGAAAUGCGUAGAUAUAUGGAAGAACACCAGUGGCGAAGGCGGCUGUCUGGUCUGCAACUGACGCUGAGGCUCGAAAGCAUGGGUAGCGAACAGGAUUAGAUACCCUGGUAGUCCAUGCCGUAAACGAUGAUUACUAAGUGUUGGAGGGUUUCCGCCCUUCAGUGCUGCAGCUAACGCAUUAAGUAAUCCGCCUGGGGAGUACGACCGCAAGGUUGAAACUCAAAAGAAUUGACGGGGGCCCGCACAAGCGGUGGAGCAUGUGGUUUAAUUCGAAGCUACGCGAAGAACCUUACCAGGUCUUGACAUCUUCUGACAGUCUAAGAGAUUAGAGGUUCCCUUCGGGGACAGAAUGACAGGUGGUGCAUGGUUGUCGUCAGCUCGUGUCGUGAGAUGUUGGGUUAAGUCCCGCAACGAGCGCAACCCUUAUUACUAGUUGCCAGCAUUAAGUUGGGCACUCUAGUGAGACUGCCGGUGACAAACCGGAGGAAGGUGGGGACGACGUCAAAUCAUCAUGCCCCUUAUGACCUGGGCUACACACGUGCUACAAUGGAUGGUACAACGAGUCGCGAGACCGCGAGGUUAAGCUAAUCUCUUAAAACCAUUCUCAAUUCGGACUGUAGGCUGCAACUCGCCUACACCAAAUCGGAAUCGCUAGUAAUCCCGGAUCAGCAUGCCGCUGUGAAUAUGUUCCCGGGCCUUGUACACACCGCCCGUCACACC
This 1065-nucleotide ribosomal RNA is filed under the name Pediococcus pentosaceus. Its description in RNAcentral is "bacterial SSU rRNA". It matches the Rfam family "Bacterial small subunit ribosomal RNA", at positions 345 to 1403 of the family's 1533-position model. The record is from RNAcentral. Lineage: Bacteria; Bacillati; Bacillota; Bacilli; Lactobacillales; Lactobacillaceae.